CACAGAGCCAGCAGAAAAUUAUCUAAUCAAAUCAGCAGCCUUUAAUGCCAAAUGCUAUAGGUAGAAAGCUUAUUCAUGGGAGCUAUUUGUUAGUUUGUAAGACAAGUCAUAUUUCCACUGAUACUUAAAUUCAGCUGUAUUGCUUUUGGAAGGAUUUUAGGUAAAAUGUCCCAAACACUAGCUAAUAACUAAGGGUGGGACACGGCAAAAUAAACCACUGAGUAGGGGUGGCCUUAGAGAACAGCUUACAGAAAAGGUUCUUUCUCUACCAUGUGUAAUACCAAAAUUGAACAUGAGGAUAUGAGGAACAGUGGCAAUUUAGCUUGGAAAACUGGGGGAUGUUAAAGUCCCCUUUCUUUAGCCAAACCAUUUUUGUCUCCUCAUCAUUUCCCCUCCCAUCUAGAGGUGUCAGGAAUGGUACUUUGAAAUGUCUGAGCCACCUUUUGGCCUCUCCAGCAACCUCCCCAACACAGAGUAGCGUCAUAAGUAGUGCUCUGUGAUGUCUGAGCCCCACCUUAGCCGCCAUUGGCUGGAGGAGAGAACCCAGCUGACCAAUCAAAGCUGAAGGGUAUCGUCCCUCAUUGUCCUCAGAAGAGGCAUAUGUAGUAGGUAGGAGGCCUGGGGUAGACCCCUGGAAAGCUUCAAUAUGGCUAAGGUAACCAGGAAACUACCACAGCCCAAUCCAGUUAUGGAGCAACUAACUAUGAGUAUCAGUGAGAGGAGAAAGAUGAAGACUCCCUUUGAGCCCAGGACCAGAGGUGGUGGCAAGGUCCUGAAGCCAACACUGAAGGCAAAAAGACCCCUUCACAGGAGUUUGAGCAAAAGAAUUCCAGAAAAAUCUGCCAACUCUGUGAGAAAUGCUAAGAAAACUAGAAUAAUAACACUAUUCGGUCACUAUCACAGACUGAAUGAGAUGCUGAAUCAAAAUGAGCGAGAGCGAGAGCAAGACCAGGACCAGGACCAGGACCAGGACCAGGACCAGGACCAAUACCAAUACCAAUACCAAGAGAAUGUGGAGAAGUCCACCACCUCAAGUGAUGACCUGGGCAGCCAGUAACUCCAGACUGAGGCCAGAGACUUCAGUAAUAUCUGCUAAGUCUCUGGGGGUCUGGUGGCUGAGAAAUGGCCAGUUGUGUAGACAUUGCAUUUUACAGCAACAGGGUACUGAUGGUACCUGAAAUAAAGUCAGCCUGUUGCAGAAACUUGUGUGUGUU
Molecule: long non-coding RNA, 1214 nt
Filed under: Vulpes vulpes (red fox)
Lineage: Eukaryota; Metazoa; Chordata; Mammalia; Carnivora; Canidae
Description: lncRNA (ENSVVUG00000000686.1)
Source: RNAcentral